GGGGAUUCAUAUUGUAGGUACUACUUAGAACUUACACUGAAAUAAAAUCCUGAGUAUUAAAAAAAAAAAAAAAGAAGUGGUAGCUUGCGGCUUAAUUUUGGACUCAAUCGCGGGAAAUAAUUUACGCAAGGUCCAGACUUAUGAGGUAGGACAGCAUUUGAUAGGGCUCUUUCUCAAUUUAAGGGGUAGUUGGUGCAUGGCGUUCUUUAGUUUCGGUGGGAAUGAUUUGUCUGGUUAAUUCCGAUAACGAACGUAGACUCAACAUGCUAACUUAGAACGCUAGUACAGUGCGCUCAUGGGCGACCUGACGUUAGCAGCGGGGCGGCGCCUUCCACGGCGGUCGUCGGCUACGUUUUGCCUGUUAGCGGGACAAACUUGUGUUCUAGCAAGCUGAGAAUGAGCGAAUAACAGGUUCCGUGAUGCGCUUCGACUGUUCUGUGGCUGCAAGGCGUGUAAAUGUGGGUCGCAAGCGUGUUCUGGCCAUACGGCGCCCUCAUGUCCGAGACGAACGGGGAAGAUCAUAAAAUGCCCAUCUGUCGGGAUUUGGGGACUGCAACGGUCCCAUGAAACCUGGAAUUUCUAGUAAGCACUGUAUUUAGCUUAGUGCUGAUUACGUCCCUGCCCUUUGUACACACCGCCGUCGCUACACCGAUGGAUAUUUACGUGUAGGUUUCUGGAGGCUUACCUUCGCGGUUCCUUGUGAGCUUGCAGCUGGCAUGGGCUGAAGUUGACGGACUUGAUGAUUUAGAGAAGUAAAAGUCGAACAAGGGUUUCCGUAGGUGAACUGCGGAAG
RNAcentral lists this ribosomal RNA (793 nucleotides) under Anopheles funestus (African malaria mosquito). RNAcentral's name for it is "eukaryotic small subunit ribosomal RNA". It matches the Rfam family "Eukaryotic small subunit ribosomal RNA", at positions 1118 to 1823 of the family's 1831-position model. The record is from RNAcentral. Lineage: Eukaryota; Metazoa; Arthropoda; Insecta; Diptera; Culicidae.